GUGAUUCUCAGAGUUCUUCAUUUUGUCGUCGUUCUCUGAGCAAGCUGGCAUUGAAAUGCCAAAAAUGAUGGAUUUCUUUCCUAAAGCACAGAAGUUUGGAAUGGAUACUUCAAUAUUGGAUUUGAAGAAAUUAUUAGAAGAUAACUUUUAGUUACUUUCAUCGAAAAUUGACUCUAUUUUGAGUUGUUUGAAUGAUAUGGAGAAGUCCUUUGCUGAGGUGGAUUACCGUCUGAGUGCUGUUGAGGAGAGAGAAGCAUCUGUUGAAGGUCAAUUAAAUAGUUUGCGAAUGCAAGUGGUUCAGAAUGAAUAUUUUGUGGAUUUAAAUUUAAGUCAACUGCAUUCACAUAACUUAAUUAUUCGUGGUCUUUAUUCAGAGAAUGUAUCAGAAUUAGAUAAUCAGAUAAAAGAAUUUAUGAAAUUAUUAGAUAUUGAUG
This 434-nucleotide long non-coding RNA is filed under the name Androctonus crassicauda. The record is from RNAcentral. Lineage: Eukaryota; Metazoa; Arthropoda; Arachnida; Scorpiones; Buthidae.